RNAcentral lists this transfer RNA (59 nucleotides) under Ignavibacteria bacterium. RNAcentral describes it as "tRNA-Asp". It matches the Rfam family "tRNA", at positions 9 to 63 of the family's 71-position model. Rfam says of the family: Transfer RNA (tRNA) molecules are approximately 80 nucleotides in length. Their secondary structure includes four short double-helical elements and three loops (D, anti-codon, and T loops). Lineage: Bacteria; Pseudomonadati; Ignavibacteriota; Ignavibacteria. The record is from RNAcentral.
AGUUCAGCUGGUUAGAACGCUUGACUGUCACUCAAGAGGUCGCGAGUUCGAAUCUCGUC